This 445-nucleotide ribosomal RNA is filed under the name Globigerina bulloides. Its description in RNAcentral is "bacterial SSU rRNA". It matches the Rfam family "Eukaryotic small subunit ribosomal RNA", at positions 1164 to 1412 of the family's 1831-position model. The record is from RNAcentral. Lineage: Eukaryota; Foraminifera; Rotaliida; Globigerinidae.
GCACCACAAGAGCGUGGAGUAUGUGGCUUAAUUUGACUCAACGCGGAAAAGCUUAUCUGGUCCGGACACAGUGAGGAUUGACAGACAGUUAGACAGAAGUGAGGUUUUGGUAACAAUUGAGAGAGUUGAAGUUCUUUCAUGAUCUUGUGAGAGGUGGUGCAUGGCCGUUCUUAGUUCGUGUAGUGAUAUGUCUGCCUAAUCGCGUCACGAUAACCUAUUGGUCGACAACCCAAUUAUCACAACUGCAGCAUAACUCCCCUUGGGUGGGCGAGGCUCUGUGUAGGAUAGACCUCUGAACAGUACGCAACGAACGCGAUCGUAAUCCCUUGUUGAGUGGCCAUCCUGUAAGCUGCUGGAUUAGGAACCCAGUGGUAUUAUCUCAGCCACAGAUUUUCUGGUUGUAGUGGGCCAGUUUUGAAACUCGGGGAACAUCUGUGACUUUCUU